ACCCUUUGGAUUCCUUGUCCCUCAGAUCUAAAUAUAGGUCUGAGUGGCUGAAAAAGAAGGAAAAGUAAAACUGAGUGGACUUGGAGUCUUUGAUAACUUACAAGUUCUUUUCAAACAUAG
Echinops telfairi (small Madagascar hedgehog) is the source of this 120-nucleotide small nucleolar RNA. NCBI's taxonomy places the organism in Eukaryota, Metazoa, Chordata, Mammalia, Afrosoricida, Tenrecidae. The record is from Ensembl.